Long non-coding RNA from Gallus gallus (chicken), 1085 nucleotides. NCBI's taxonomy places the organism in Eukaryota, Metazoa, Chordata, Aves, Galliformes, Phasianidae. The record is from Ensembl.
CGCCCGGCAGGGCAGCGCCCUCCGCCCCUGAGGGACAGCGCGGCCGCCGAAGGGGCGAUCUGGCGCCGGGAGUCAAGUUGGGCGGUCCCCGCAGCGCUGGGGAGCAGUAGAGACUUUGGGUUUAUCUUCUCCUUUUUGAGCCCUGAGGAAACACUUGAAGAGGGGCAGAAAGGGCCGUGAGGAGAGCUCCGGGCCGAGGCAGGGCUUGCUGAGCACGCGGAGUGCGGUAGAGAUAGCAAAUCUGAGUUUGGAGUCACCUUCACUUCAAUAUUCUAGAGCUACAGAAUGAAGAAGAUCCUUAAAGAAACCACUGUUUGGAAUUUGACCACUUGUAUGUGCUCAUGUUCUGGUCCGUCUUGGAAAAAAAAUUGGAAGGUCCACAGUUUGUUCCAGACCAGAAUGCAGCUACAUGCUUGAAGUUCCGAAUUUUUCUCAAAUAGUUUUUUACUGUCCAGCCUCAACUGUACAAAUAAUAGUUUAAAUACAAUGGCUUUUAGUGCUUUUAGCCUUUAAAUACCAUUCAUCUUGGUUUCACUCUGCCUUUUCUGGGACAUAUGCAUAUCAUGUUUGUCCUACAUCUGUUACCCAGAUGAACAAUGCCAUGGGAUGUAUGACUCACCUAAUGGCUUGAAAUUCUGGCACCAUGUUAUUGGUUACAAUAGGUGGGGCUCUAUGCACUCAAAACCAAAAAAUGUGUGUUUGAACAAUAAAAUGUUUGGGGCUUGUUUGGCUGUGUUUAGGUUUGCACAUUGCGCACAUAUUGACCCCAAUUAAAUUACGAAGAAGAGAAUAUCCAUUAAAUAAGUUAUUAAAACUACUACAGAACUUGUCAAAUGAAUGACUGUACAAACAGUGGAGCUGUUUCUUAGGGAUUAGAGAAAAUCUGGACUGUUCCCAGACAAAAUCCAGUUGAGGUAAGAUAAGAUAAGAACUGUUCAUUGGAUCUUCAAAGCCUAAAGGAUUGUGGAAAAUAUUAAAUUGAAUAAGUUCUGUGAAUUGUUAAUUUUUCACUUCUGUGAAGCAGCUUAUAUCAAUGUAAAGUCAAGCAUGGGAGAAUUAUGUCUAUAUAAGACUGAAAACAGUGG